CCGCGGGGCAGCCCCGGAGCCGCCUCAGCACCGCGUUUCCAAAUAUUUAUCCGAAGGGCUCAAAGGAAGGCUGCGUCCUGCAACCCGACUAUAAAUCAGCGGUAAAAUAGACUGUUCCAGGGUUCGUAUCUACAGAAGUGAAUAGUGAUAACUUGACGUUUGCGUGUAGAAGUGGAUGUAACCAGACUGGGAAGAAGAAAGAACCUGAGUUUACAGGGUGAAAUAAAAAAGAAAUGCUAAGUAAGGAGGAAAAAUAGCGUCCUGACAAGAGAAGUAUCUGAACACACAAGGUUUGCUAGAGCCAUUAUUUUAAGACCAGAAAGGACUCUUUUGACUAUUUCACACCGUGCCAUAAAGCUUCAGCACGAUUCCCCCUGACAUCGCGUACGCCGGCAAGUAAUUACAACAGUUUCCACAAGCAGGAAAAGGUAGGGAGCUGCAAGACAAGCCGGACUGUUACCUGACCAGGGAGGGGGCUGACUUCAGCUCCACCAUUCAUCUGCUCUCACCCCUGCGACCACUCCUGGGAAUCGCGCAAGCAAGCCCAGUCCCCGUGCACCAGAGAAGGAACUGCUGUAACCAGCGUCACCCAACGCGUGGGGCGAUUCACAAGACACACAGAGCAACAGGAAUAUCUUCAACGGGAAAUUUAGAAGUGAAAUAAAAUAUAUGGGAGCAAAUCAACUGUAAACCAGACAGCCAAAUACAUUCCAAGGAAGACACCAAAGAAUAUUAACUCAGGAACAACCACAGUCGUGGAUAAAAAACCUGGAGUUAACUGACGGGGGGAAAAAAAAAAAGAAUGCUUCUCCUGGCAGACUGAGGUGCAGAAAUUACAUAUGCUUGGCUGUAUUUCUACAUUUCAUAAACUACAGAUUUCUUCAUUCACAAAAAAGUUGGUGAAUAGAGAAAAGCAGAUACCUAGUGGAAGAAUAUAAUUCGAGGUUCACAUUUGCUUAAAUACAAUUCUACACACUUUUUUUUUUUUUUCAAUAAGAAGCCCUGCAUAUCAACACUAUAGAUUUUAAGCUGUACCAUGAAAACCUUCUUGAUCACACCUACCUGAAUCAGGGAGUAAUUCAAAGGUAUUCUAGCUCCCUGCUUCUGAAAAGCAGUAAUACAUAUUCUAGAAGAAUUAACUUUUGACAAAAUUAUGUCAAAAUUGUCUACGUGUGGACUAGGGAAAAUUCUCUUUAGCAGGAGAAAUACAGCUGCCAUCACCUAAAGCAGUAUAAAACGUUAAAGGAAAAAAAAACAACAGUUAUCUUCGGCUUACAUUUUUGAUGCUGUCUCUCUGCUUUAUUCUCUCUAUUUACUCAUUAAAGCUAUUUUCA
This is a long non-coding RNA of Struthio camelus australis, 1334 nucleotides long. RefSeq lists it as uncharacterized. The record is from RefSeq and is a predicted model, not a curated record. Lineage: Eukaryota; Metazoa; Chordata; Aves; Struthioniformes; Struthionidae.